This 492-nucleotide ribosomal RNA is filed under the name uncultured bacterium. RNAcentral describes it as "partial 16S ribosomal RNA". It matches the Rfam family "Bacterial small subunit ribosomal RNA", at positions 29 to 507 of the family's 1533-position model. The record is from RNAcentral.
AGUGAACGCUGGCGGUAGGCCUAACACAUGCAAGUCGAACGGCCGCACAGUAAGCGCUUGCUCUUACGGGUGGCGAGUGGCGGACGGGUGAGGAAUACAUCGGAAUCUACUUUUUCGUGGGGGAUAACGUAGGGAAACUUACGCUAAUACCGCAUACGACCUACGGCUGAAAUCAGGGGAUCUUCGCACCUUGCGCGACUGAAUGAGCCGAUGUCGGAUUAGCUAGUUGGCGGGGUAAAGGCCCACCAAGGCGACGAUCCGCAGCUGGUCUGAGAGGAUGAUCAGCCACACUGGAACUGAGACACGGUCCAGACUCCUACGGGAGGCAGCAGUGGGGAAUAUUGGACAAUGGGCGCAAGCCUGAUCCAGCCAUACCGCGUGGGUGAAGAAGGUCUUCGGAUUGUAAAGCCCUGUUGUUGGGAAAGAAAAGCAGCAGGUGAAUACCCCGCUGUUCUGACGGUACCCAAAGAAUAAGCACCGGCUAACUUCGUG